RNAcentral lists this non-coding RNA (27 nucleotides) under Homo sapiens (human). The record is from RNAcentral. Lineage: Eukaryota; Metazoa; Chordata; Mammalia; Primates; Hominidae.
UGUGCUGGUGGCUCCACGUUAAAUGUC